ACAGCGAUGAAUAUAAAGCACUUAAAGUAACAAUACAAAAAGCGUGUAACGAGAAAUACAGCCUCAAAUUCCCAACUACGUUUUCCGACUGCCGUUUGAAAAGCUUCAGUGCCUUAAAUACACCACAAGGGUCUG
Molecule: long non-coding RNA, 135 nt
Organism: Trematomus bernacchii (emerald rockcod)
Lineage: Eukaryota; Metazoa; Chordata; Actinopteri; Perciformes; Nototheniidae
Exons: 3
Source: RefSeq, a predicted model, not a curated record